CACCGGAGGUGUCGUCAGUGAUAUCCGAACAGCUUAGCAACUCGUCCUCUAGCGGCAGUGACAGCGACAGUGAUUCGGCAUCGUCCGGCAGUGAUUCAGACAUGGAGACCGUGCCGGCGGGGGCUCUGUUUCCUGAAACCCAGCGACCACAAUCAUCCGGUUCGCACAUGACCACAGCAAGUCAUUCGAUCCCAGUCGCAAGUCAUGAGAACGAGAAGGGCUACAGCCAACUCAGCGAAGACCUUCAACUUAGCGAAUCCGGGAGUGACAGCGACAGCGACUGAUGCCAUCGGGACUGUUGUAUGGACGUGACGGCCAUGACGAUGGAAGACUUGAUUGUCCAUGAAGCGUGAAUGCGCAAGCAAGCGGGCAGAGAGAGUGGAGACAGUGAGUGAGCAGAGGGAGUGGAGACAGUGAGUGAGCAGAGGGAGUGGAGACAGUGAGU
Long non-coding RNA from Priapulus caudatus, 445 nucleotides. RefSeq lists it as uncharacterized. The transcript has 3 exons. The record is from RefSeq and is a predicted model, not a curated record. NCBI's taxonomy places the organism in Eukaryota, Metazoa, Priapulida, Priapulimorpha, Priapulimorphida, Priapulidae.